This 21-nucleotide non-coding RNA is filed under the name Caenorhabditis elegans. The record is from RNAcentral. Lineage: Eukaryota; Metazoa; Nematoda; Chromadorea; Rhabditida; Rhabditidae.
UUUUUUCCUCAAAGAUAUUCA